This 84-nucleotide transfer RNA is filed under the name Lachnospira eligens. Its description in RNAcentral is "[Eubacterium] eligens tRNA-Ser". It matches the Rfam family "tRNA". From Rfam's summary of the family: Transfer RNA (tRNA) molecules are approximately 80 nucleotides in length. Lineage: Bacteria; Bacillati; Bacillota; Clostridia; Lachnospirales; Lachnospiraceae. The record is from RNAcentral. RNAcentral also lists the same sequence under 1 other name.
GCCGUGUUGGCUCAAUUGGUACAGCACUGGUCUUGAAAACCAGCAUUCUGAAAGGAUAUGGGAGUUCGAUUCUCUCACACGACG